GGUCCCUUAGCUCAGUUGGUUAGAGCAUCUGACUCAUAAUCAGGGGGUCGCAGGAUCAUGCCCUGCAGGGACCA
This 74-nucleotide transfer RNA is filed under the name Bacteroidales bacterium. RNAcentral's name for it is "tRNA-Ile". It matches the Rfam family "tRNA". From Rfam's summary of the family: Transfer RNA (tRNA) molecules are approximately 80 nucleotides in length. RNAcentral also lists the same sequence under 1 other name. The record is from RNAcentral. Lineage: Bacteria; Pseudomonadati; Bacteroidota; Bacteroidia; Bacteroidales.